This 4377-nucleotide long non-coding RNA is filed under the name Panax ginseng (ginseng). RNAcentral describes it as "long non-coding RNA (PGIN_LNC005780)". Lineage: Eukaryota; Viridiplantae; Streptophyta; Magnoliopsida; Apiales; Araliaceae. The record is from RNAcentral.
UAAGAACUAUAAAACGAAGGUAUUUCAAUAACGAAACAUGAAGGCGAAAUCAAUUAAACAUAAAAGCAUAAAUAAUAGAAGAGAUAAAAAAUAUUAUUACGAAUAAUUAUUUAAUUUCAUCUUCAUCCUAGAUUAAAGAAAUUAACUAGACAGGAAAAUAAAUAAAUUAACUAAAAUAAAGAAGAAGUAGAAGAUUGAAAAUAAAUAAGAAAACUCCCUUUAUUCACGAUCCUCCAACAAGCGUACAAUGAAAUUUAAUUUACUCCUACUCCUAACCUAAAGUAAUACAAUACCUCAUACCUUUCUCUCUAAAACAAGAGACCUAUUUAUAGGGAAAAUAACUUUGAACCCUAAUUUAGAUUCAUUGAACUUGGACACUUUUGUUCCCUUUCCAUGUAGGUUUCAAUUUCCUAGUGUCAAUCAACUUCUCAAAAAGAUCUUCUAGAUAAAGAGAUCUUCUAGAUUGACUUUCCUUUCUCUUGCUGGAUUUGACUUGCACACUAAAAUUGUUCAACCUCUUUUCUUCUCCUUGUCGGAUUCUUUUUGGAUAUUCCUUACAUGAAUAAGAGCAUUAAAUAUCGCUUGAUCACCAAGAUUUUGACUUUAUUGCAAAAAAAUAUUAAAUCCUACAAAAUAAAAUAAAACAUAUUAAUUUAAUAAAUUAAUAUAAUUAAAAGGACAAAAUUAGGGAUAAUAAAAUGUAUGAAUUACGUGUCUAUCAAAUACCCCCAUACCUAGCUUUUGCUCGUCCUCGAGUAAAAUAAAUAAAAAUAAAAAUAAAACAAAAAUUACACUACCCCAUUUUCGUAGGAAACACGAUUGCACUUAGCAUGUGCAACAAGCCUUUAAACCCCAAGGUUACCCCAAGUGGACGAGUUGUGUCUCGUGAGGGUUUGCAGUGAAUAUACCCACAAAAUUCAAAAAUAUUUUUGGAUUCAACAAAUUAUGAAAUUGAAAGAAAGCUUCUAAAUAUCUAUGGGCAUUAUACAUAAGCAAGAUUAAAUUCAAAAUCACACUUUCACUUUAUCAAAAAUACUCGAUCUUUAUUUUAGACACCAUCCUUCAUUAAAUCAAUUUCAUGUGAUGCAUGCAUUGUGUAUAUGACAUGACGUAACUCUUAGUAGGGAUUUUUAUCAUGAAAAUCAAGCAAGCUCAUUUUUUCCUUUUUCUUUCUUUUUUCCAUUUUUUUUCAAUUUUGAUUCUUGACUUGUGCAAUGUCUCAUUUUCUUAGGCUUUUCAGAGUUACCCAUGUAGAGCGAGCGUUGGACCAAUGACUCCCAAACCAGAUGGCUUUAGGGCACUAGGUGUAGAGACACCCCUAAGGAUUUACUAACUUGAGUAACAAAGUCCACAAAAUUAGACUAGUCAAGCUGCUUUUAUCCAUCACACUUUUCAGCGUGAAUAUCGAUGCUUCCCGAGGCUUGGAUACCUAGUUAUUUCGUUUAAUGGACAUUGAAGAAGUUAUUUAUUCCUUUUCUUCUUUUUUUUUUCAACUUCAUUUUUUUUUCAUUCCUUCUUCUUUUCUUUUCUUUUAUUUCUUUUUUUUUUUGAAAUUACUCGAAUCAUGGUUUAUACCCUACAACUAAGAAUUAGUGCAAACGUGAAGUGCAAAAAUGCUUGUGAAAUCAACUUUAAAUUCAGAUGGUGUUUUGAACUAAGAUUUCGUAUCUUAUCAAAAAUUCAAGAGUUCUAAAUCUUUCAAUCUCACUCAUGAGUUUUUCUCCACAAACACUUAUUAGAAUUAAUUUAAUUCAUAAAAAGUUAAACACAAUUUUUAAUUUCUUAAUUUUUUUGUUUUUUUUAUUUUUUUUCGUAAAAAGAAAAAAAAAAUCUAAUACAAACAAACUCCCCCCAUACCUAAAUCAUGCAUUGUCCUCAAUGUAUGCAAAUGAAUAAAAGAGAACAAAGAUGCGAAAGAAUUGUACCUUGUAUGCGGGGCAUUUGUUCUGCAAGAAGAUGUGGUGAGAAAGAAAACAAAUGUACAUAUCUACAAAUUUUAUAAAUCCUAAAAAUUAUGUGACUAAAAAUGAAUGUUACAAAUGGAUAAGUGAGUGUGAACUUUUCAUUAUUUUCAGGAGGUCUAGGAAAUUGAAAAUAGUCAGAAUUUUCAUCACAGUUAUGCUUCAAGUUUACCUCAAGAAAACUUUCAUUAACAUGUUCAAAUAAUGGAAGAAUUGGUUCAAAUACAUGUUCUAGUUUAGUUGACUUAUUUGUAGUGGAUCUCAACAGCUCGUUGACCUUAUCUAAAUAUUCGGAUUCAUUCCAAUUUUGGUUAAGGUAAUUUAAGAAAAAAUCAAUUGGAUCUUUUUCAAUCAAGAGUCUAUUUUCAAUUAUUUCUUGGGUCAUUGACAACUCUUGUAUCAUGUUUACUUUAAUGGGUUGGUCCAAAAAAUCACUAGGUGAUUUUUUAGGAGUAAGUCUUUCAGGGUAUGGAACUUUAGGCUUAUAGACUUUUUCAACCGACUCAUUAAAUGCAACAUGAUCAAUUUUAGGCAUAGACUCAUAAUUUUUAAACUCCUCAAAUUGACUUGACUCAAACUGUGUGGAAUUGAAUAUAAGAUUUUCAUUUUCCUCAUCAUUUCCACAACCAUUGAAACUUUCAAAAUUAACCUCAGAGUUACUAGAAAAUUCACUCACCUCUUGUUCAUUUAUUAUAGUGGCUAAUCUAUUCAUUUGAAUUUCUAGACGGGUUAUAACUUGAUCAAAGCUGAAUUGAUUUUCCAUUAAAACUUCCAUAGUUUUCUCUAAGGCACCAAGUCUUUCCUCUUCUUUAUUUGAUAAUUCUUGUGAAUAUUGAGGUUCUAGAUCCGAAUAUGGAUAUGGAUAUGAACUUAGAUAAGAAUUUUCAUAAGUUGAAAAACAUUGAUUUACUUGGUGUGCAUUAAAAUUUUCGUAGGAUUCUUGAUUCCAAGUAAAAUUAUUAUUCCAACUAUAGUAAGAAUUCAUUUUUCCACAAAUCACAAAACAAACAGACAACUAACCACGAAAGUCGUACAAAAAAAAAAUUAAAAAAAAAACAAAAAAAACUGAACUACUAUAUAAAUUAUUUUUUUUUAAAAAUAUGGAGAUACGAAGUACCGAAGAAAGCGCAGCAACAAAAUCUUUAUCUUUUCGCUACUUCGAUCCACUUCAAUAAUCCUGAAAAAAAGAGUUAAAACUAAUUCGAAUAAAUAAAAAUUAGGGAAUAAAAAAUUAAUUCUAGUCCCCGGCAACGGCGCCAAAAAAUUGAUGUGUUAAAAAUAUGUACUGCAAGUGCACAGUGUCUAAUUGAAGAACUGACAAGUACAGGUCGAACCCACAGAGACUAAAUUAAUUUUAAUGUUUCCUUAAUAUUUAUUUUAGGCGAAUUAGAAAUAAAGAUUGAGAAUUAAUUAACUAGAAUAUGAAAAAAAUUAAUAAGAAAACAAUCUAGGAAUCUGAAUCCACUAAAUAAUAAACAUAACAUAUAAUUCAAUCUCUUCUAUUUUUAUAACUCAAAUUAUGAUUUUGAUCUCCCUUCCCUUUAAUUUAGUAAUUUACAAUUAACGUGGGCAAGCAUAGACUAUGAAAAUUUAAGGAUUAACUAUAACCCAUCGAAACUUCUUUGAGCAAGCAUGGAUUAUGUAAAACUCAUAUCUUAACAAUAAUCUAUCAAGACCUCUUAAUUAAUUUAAAAUCACAUAAGAACUAUAAAACGAAGAUAUUUCAAUGACGAAACAUGAAGGCGAAAUCAAUUAAACAUAAAAGCAUAAAUAAUAGAAGAGAGAAAAAAUAUUAUUACGAAUAAUUAUUUAAUUUCAUCUUCAUCAUAGAUUAAAGAAAUUAACUAGACAUGAAAAUAAAUAAAUUAACUAAAAUAAAGAAGAAGUAGAAGAUUGAAAAUAAAUAAGAAAACUCCCUUUAUUCACGAUCCUCCAACAAGCGUACAAUGAAACGUAAUUUAAUUUACUCCUACUCCUAUCCUAAAGUAAUACAAUACCUCAUACCUUUCUCUGUAAAACAAGAGACCUAUUUAUAGGGAAAAUAACUUUGAACCCUAAUUUAGAUUCAUUGAACUUGGACACUUUUGUUCCCUUUCCAUGUAGGUUUCAAUUUCCUAGUGUCAAUCAACUCCUCAAAAAGAUCUUCUAGAUAAAGAGAUCUUCUAGAUUGACUUUCCUUUCUCUUGUUGGAUUUGACUUGCACACUAAGAUUGUUCAACCUCUUUUCUUCUCCUUGUCGGAUUCUUCUUGGAUAUUCCUUACAUGAAUAAGAGCAUUAAAUAUCGCUUGAUCACCAAGAUUUUGACUUUAUUGCAAAAAAAUAUUAAAUCCUACAAAAUAAAAUAAAACAUAUUAAUUUAAUAAAUUAAUAUAAUUAAAAGGACAAAAUUAGGGAUAAUAAAAUGUAUGAAUUACG